UACGAAGGGGGCUAGCGUUGUUCGGAUUUACUGGGCGUAAAGCGCACGUAGGCGGAUCGAUCAGUCAGGGGUGAAAUCCCAGAGCUCAACUCUGGAACUGCCUUUGAUACUGUCGAUCUGGAGUAUGGAAGAGGUGAGUGGAAUUCCGAGUGUAGAGGUGAAAUUCGUAGAUAUUCGGAAGAACACCAGUGGCGAAGGCGGCUCACUGGUCCGGUACUGACGCUGAUGUGCGAAAGCGUGGGGAGCAAACAGG
RNAcentral lists this ribosomal RNA (253 nucleotides) under uncultured bacterium. RNAcentral's name for it is "partial 16S ribosomal RNA". It matches the Rfam family "Bacterial small subunit ribosomal RNA", at positions 524 to 776 of the family's 1533-position model. The record is from RNAcentral.